This is a long non-coding RNA of Fukomys damarensis (Damara mole-rat), 624 nucleotides long. RefSeq lists it as uncharacterized. The record is from RefSeq and is a predicted model, not a curated record. The transcript is spliced from 3 exons. NCBI's taxonomy places the organism in Eukaryota, Metazoa, Chordata, Mammalia, Rodentia, Bathyergidae.
GGCGGAGGCAGUGGCACCAAGCGACCAUGCAGCGAGCCGGCGAGGGCGCGUCCAGAUACAGAGAAUGGAAAGGUGUGUGUGAAAUGGAAGAGCUGAAACCUUGAAAGUAUGACCCAGAGCAGGAGACAAGUGACUGAUUAUCAGAUGGUACAGAACCACGUGGAACAGCAGUGCUACUGACCUGACGUAAAUGUCUAAUUCUCUCAGUCUCUUCCAUCAUUUGAUUCUCACAAGACUCUUUGUUCUUGGACAAUUGAAUGUGUCUUGUGGGGGGGGGAGGUGGGGGACUAUUAUUCAAGAGGACAUUGUGUAUGAAGACAGGAACUAUUAAGCGCUGUGUGAGGAAGAGCAUGUGGAAGGUACUGAAAGUGGUAAAAGAUUUGCCAACAGUCCUGGAAUAAAGAAAAGUUAAGAGUUUAUUGAUACACUGCAAGAGAGCACAGAGUGAGUUCCAAGGGCAGACUGCACCAUCAAGGAGAAAGGAACACCUUUAUUUUGUCAAGAAUUACACAUCAAAGGAGCAAAAUUAACAAUGGUCCACUAUUUGUGUCCUCACAGAAAGCCUUAAGACUUGAAAUAGGGACACGUGUAUCAACUCUAAGGAAAGGGUCACAGGCCAUUGGU